UUCAUAUCUGAUCACAAUCUUAUCAUCGGAUCACAUUCUGGGGACUUCAUCAACUGCAUGCAUGUGUGAAAGAAAAGAAAAAUAUGUUGAUCCUCUAUAUUCACAAGCUAUAUAUUCAAACUACAAAUAUGUUCAAUGACUGAUGCUGUAUUUGAUAUGGAUCUCACCUCAGCUACAAAUAUGUUCAAUGACUACUCGUAUGUAUGUCAGUAGUGAAGUACUAUAAAGGCCAGGGUUCAAAAUAGACGCCAAAUUUGAAAAUGAUGGUGGCUGGGCUACACUAUACAAAGACGAGGUCAGUAGGUAUGAAAAUGAUUUACUUUAAUCUAAUUAGAGACAGAGAGAAAUGUUUAAGUACUAUAUAUUUAGUGAUGAGACUAAAUUAUUGAUUUAGGAUCGACACUUGUGAGUGGGGAGACCAAAUCCCACUCUCUCUCACUCUCACCAUAUUACACAGAUUUGGUAGAUUGCUUCAGCAAACCUAAUGCACCAUUAACGACAUUUUAGCUUC
This is a long non-coding RNA of Prunus dulcis (almond), 511 nucleotides long. RefSeq lists it as uncharacterized. The record is from RefSeq and is a predicted model, not a curated record. The transcript is spliced from 2 exons. Lineage: Eukaryota; Viridiplantae; Streptophyta; Magnoliopsida; Rosales; Rosaceae.